GUGAGGAAUAUUGGGCAAUGGGCGCAAGCCUGACCCAGCAACGCCGCGUGAAGGAAGAAGGCUUUCGGGUUGUAAACUUCUUUUACCAGGGACGAAACAAAUGACGGUACCUGGUGAAUAAGCCACGGCUAACUACGUGCCAGCAGCCGCGGUAAUACGUAGGUGGCGAGCGUUAUCCGGAUUUAUUGGGUGUAGAGGGCGUGUAGGCGGGACAGCAAGUCAGAUGUGAAAACCAGAGGCUCAACCUCUGGCCUGCAUUUGAAACUGUUGUUCUUGAGUGUCGGAGAGGUAAUCGGAAUUCCGUGUGUAGCGGUGAAAUGCGUAGAUAUACGGAGGAACACCAGUGGCGAAGGCGGAUUACUGGACGAUAACUGACGCUGAGGCGCGAAAGCGUGGGGAGCAAACAGGAUUAGAUACCCCGGUAGUCC
RNAcentral lists this ribosomal RNA (428 nucleotides) under uncultured bacterium. RNAcentral's name for it is "partial 16S ribosomal RNA". It matches the Rfam family "Bacterial small subunit ribosomal RNA", at positions 354 to 796 of the family's 1533-position model. The record is from RNAcentral.